UGCCCCAUCGGAGAUGGUUAUCAGCACAAUGAUUUAAUGCCAAGCAAUGCAAGCAGGCAGUGUAAUGUCAGUGCUAUCUCUGCUCUCACCCCUCCAGCACUUUCAUAUCCUGCCGUGGUAACGCAAAGGAUUAAAGCAAAGAUGGGAGUGCUGAUGGAAGGGAGUGGUGUUGAUCUCAUCUCGUGUGCUGGUCCCACACUCCGCACCCAUUACAAUGAAAGAUCUUGUUCUGCAAGCACCACGGCUGAAAUAAAGGUGAUGCUCUCCAUGGUUUUUGCUUUCCUCCUUCUGUAGGGAUGGACUGACCUCAGCAAGAGGAAUGUGUCUGAAAGCCAUAGGAGCUGUAUCUUCAUCACAGCCAUUUCUUCUAUCAAGGAGCUCCCAUGGGACAUCUCUCAGGAAAACAAGGAUGCAUCGGAGAACCGGCAACACAUCUCCACCAGAUAAUUAGAUUGAAAGAAAACCACCCCUCUGAAGACAAUGAGAUGAUAAAAGAGAUCAAGGUCCCUGGGAAAACUUAAUCCUCCGCUGUUUUCCAUUACUUCUCAGGUUAUUUCACUCUGCUAUUAAGAAAUUUGAUGUGCUGAUGAGUAGGAGAGAAAGCUUCCGGACUUGGAGGAAAAAAAAAAUGUUGUGUUGUGUGAGGACAGUCUAUUAAAGAUUCAGCAAUUGUACAAACCCCACA
Phasianus colchicus (ring-necked pheasant) is the source of this 685-nucleotide long non-coding RNA. RefSeq lists it as uncharacterized. The record is from RefSeq and is a predicted model, not a curated record. Lineage: Eukaryota; Metazoa; Chordata; Aves; Galliformes; Phasianidae.